Molecule: ribosomal RNA, 466 nt
Filed under: uncultured bacterium
Lineage: Bacteria
Description: bacterial SSU rRNA
Rfam family: Bacterial small subunit ribosomal RNA
Source: RNAcentral
CCUACGGGUGGCUGCAGUAGGGAAUCUUCCGCAAUGGACGAAAGUCUGACGGAGCAACGCCGCGUGAGUGAAGAAGGUUUUCGGAUCGUAAAACUCUGUUGUUAGGGAAGAACAAGUGCCGUUCAAAUAGGGCGGCACCUUGACGGUACCUAACCAGAAAGCCCCGGCUAACUACGUGCCAGCAGCCGCGGUAAUACGUAGGGGGCAAGCGUUGUCCGGAAUUAUUGGGCGUAAAGCGCGCGCAGGCGGUCUUUUAAGUCUGAUGUGAAAGCCCACGGCUUAACCGUGGAGGGCCAUUGGAAACUGGAGGACUUGAGUACAGAAGAGGAGAGUGGAAUUCCACGUGUAGCGGUGAAAUGCGUAGAGAUGUGGAGGAACACCAGUGGCGAAGGCGACUCUCUGGUCUGUAACUGACGCUGAGGUGCGAAAGCGUGGGUAGCGAACAGGAUUAGAUACCCUUGUAGUC